CCAAUAGCGUAUAUUAAAGUUGUUGCAGUUAAAAAGCUCGUAGUUGAAUUUCGGGAUCAAUUUAUUGGUCGUGCUAUUGUACGUACUGGUAUUAUUGAUUCCUACCUUCUGACGAACCAUGAUGUCAUUAAUUUGGUGUCAUGGGGAUCAGGACUGUUACUUUGAAAAAAUUAGAGUGUUUAAAGCAGGCUCACGCUUGAAUACAUUAGCAUGGAAUAACGAAAUAGGACGUUUGAUUCUAUUUUGUUGGUUUCUAGGAUCGACGUAAUGAUUAAUAGGGAUAGUUGGGGGCAUUAGUAUUCAAUUGUCAGAGGUGAAAUUCUUGGAUUUAUUGAAGACUAACUACUGCGAAAGCAUUUGCCAAGGAUGUUUUCAUUAAUCAAGAACGAAAGUUAGGGGAUCGAAGACGAUCAGAUACCGUCGUAGUCUUAACCAUAAACUAUGCCGACUAGGGAUCGGAUGAUGUUAAUUUUUUAAUGACUCAUUCGGCGCCUUACG
RNAcentral lists this ribosomal RNA (498 nucleotides) under uncultured Glomeromycotina. Its description in RNAcentral is "partial small subunit ribosomal RNA". It matches the Rfam family "Eukaryotic small subunit ribosomal RNA", at positions 591 to 1092 of the family's 1831-position model. The record is from RNAcentral. Lineage: Eukaryota; Fungi; Glomeromycota.